AACGAACGCUGGCGGCAUGCCUAACACAUGCAAGUCGAACGAAGGCUUCGGCCUUAGUGGCGCACGGGUGCGUAACGCGUGGGAAUCUGCCCUUUGGUUCGGAAUAACAGCUGGAAACGGCUGCUAAUACCGGAUGAUGACGAAAGUCCAAAGAUUUAUCGCCAGAGGAUGAGCCCGCGUUGGAUUAGGUAGUUGGUGGGGUAAAGGCCUACCAAGCCGACGAUCCAUAGCUGGUCUGAGAGGAUGAUCAGCCACACUGGGACUGAGACACGGCCCAGACUCCUACGGGAGGCAGCAGUGGGGAAUAUUGGACAAUGGGCGCAAGCCUGAUCCAGCAAUGCCGCGUGAGUGAUGAAGGCCCUAGGGUUGUAAAGCUCUUUUACCCGGGAAGAUAAUGACGGUACCGGGAGAAUAAGCCCCGGCUAACUCCGUG
RNAcentral lists this ribosomal RNA (433 nucleotides) under uncultured bacterium. RNAcentral's name for it is "partial 16S ribosomal RNA". It matches the Rfam family "Bacterial small subunit ribosomal RNA", at positions 29 to 507 of the family's 1533-position model. The record is from RNAcentral.